CCUACGGGCGGCAGCAGUCGAGAAUCAUUCACAAUGGGGGAAACCCUGAUCGUGCGACGUCGCGUGGGGGAUUGCAGCCCUUCGGAUUGUAAACUUCUGUUAUGUGGGAGCAAAUUAAUCCGAGCGUACCCCAAGAGGAAGUGCCUGCCAACUCUGGGUCAGCCGCCCCGGUAAUAAAGGAGGCGCAAGGGGUGUUCGGAAUCACUGGGGGUAAAGGGUGCGGAGGGUGGUACGUAAAUCGCGUGUGAAAGACUCGGGGUCAAACCUCGGAGUGCACAUGAUACUGCGGGUCUAGAGUGAGCGAGGAGUAAGCGGAAUGCGUGGUGUAGCGGUGAAAUGCGUAGAUAUCGAGCAGAACACUCAUGGCGAAGGCAGGUUACCGGAGAUUAACUGACGCUGAGGCACGAAGGCCAGGGUAUCGAACGGGAUUAGAUACCCGAGUAGUC
This 446-nucleotide ribosomal RNA is filed under the name uncultured bacterium. Its description in RNAcentral is "partial 16S ribosomal RNA". It matches the Rfam family "Bacterial small subunit ribosomal RNA", at positions 338 to 795 of the family's 1533-position model. The record is from RNAcentral.